AGAGUUUGAUCCUGGCUCAGGAUGAACGCUGGCGGCGCGCCUAACACAUGCAAGUCGAACGGAGCUUACGUUUUGAAGUUUUCGGAUGGACGAAUGUAAGCUUAGUGGCGGACGGGUGAGUAACACGUGAGCAACCUGCCUUCCAGAGGGGGAUAACAGCCGG
This 163-nucleotide ribosomal RNA is filed under the name uncultured bacterium. RNAcentral describes it as "partial 16S ribosomal RNA". It matches the Rfam family "Bacterial small subunit ribosomal RNA", at positions 8 to 153 of the family's 1533-position model. The record is from RNAcentral.